AAAGUCUGGAGGUCUAGAAUCAGGGUUGUAGGAUAGGGGCUCCUAGAGUUUUUCGUACGCCUCAUCCGGGGUUGGGUGUGGGUCAGCAGGGUUACCCAUUGAUGAUUUGUGUUUUAGCUGAUGUCCCCCCCUAUGGCUGUUAGUUAUGGUAGUUACUGUACGAUAUUAUUGCAUGCGAUUGUAUCUAUGUUCCGUAUGUUUAGAUAAUUAUUUACGCUAUUUACGCUAUUUCUGCCGGAGUU
Molecule: long non-coding RNA, 242 nt
Filed under: Nicotiana benthamiana
Lineage: Eukaryota; Viridiplantae; Streptophyta; Magnoliopsida; Solanales; Solanaceae
Description: long non-coding RNA (NBEN_LNC021915)
Source: RNAcentral